RNAcentral lists this ribosomal RNA (390 nucleotides) under uncultured bacterium. RNAcentral's name for it is "bacterial SSU rRNA". It matches the Rfam family "Bacterial small subunit ribosomal RNA", at positions 28 to 420 of the family's 1533-position model. The record is from RNAcentral.
GACGAACGCUGGCGGCGUGCUUAACACAUGCAAGUCGAGCGGUAAGGCCCUUUCGGGGGUACACGAGCGGCGAACGGGUGAGUAACACGUGGGUGACCUGCCCUUAGCUCUGGGAUAAGCCUGGGAAACUGGGUCUAAUACCGGAUAUGACUCCAUGACGCAUGUUGUGGGGUGGAAAGCCUUGUGCGGCUAGGGAUGGGCCCGCGGCCUAUCAGCUUGUUGGUGGGGUGAUGGCCUACCAAGGCGACGACGGGUAGCCGGCCUGAGAGGGCGACCGGCCACACUGGGACUGAGACACGGCCCGGACUCCUACGGGAGGCAGCAGUGGGGAAUCUUGCGCAAUGGGCGAAAGCCUGACGCAGCGACGCCGCGUGGGGAUGACGGCCUCGU